CGCGGGAAUUCGAUUAGAGUUUGAUCAUGGCUCAGAUUGAACGCUGGCGGCAUGCCUUACACAUGCAAGUCGAACGGCAGCACGGAGCAAUCCUGGUGGCGAGUGGCGAACGGGUGAGUAAUGCAUCGGAACGUGUCCUCUUGUGGGGGAUAACCAGUCGAAAGACUGGCUAAUACCGCAUGAGAUCGAGAGAUGAAAGCAAGGGACCGCAAGGCCUUGCGCGAGAGGAGCGGCCGAUGCCGGAUUAGCUAGUUGGUGGGGUAACGGCCUACCAAGGCGACGAUCCGUAGCUGGUCUGAGAGGACGACCAGCCACACUGGGACUGAGACACGGCCCAGACUCCUACGGGAGGCAGCAGUGGGGAAUUUUGGACAAUGGGGGCAACCCUGAUCCAGCCAUGCCGCGUGUGUGAAGAAGGCCUUCGGGUUGUAAAGCACUUUCGGACGGAACGAAAUCGCGCGAGUUAAUAGUUCGCGUGGAUGACGGUACCGUAAGAAGAAGCACCGGCUAACUACGUGCCAGCAGCCGCGGUAAUACGAAUCACUAGUGAAUUCCGGCCGCCUGCAGGUCGACCAUAUGGGAGAGCUCCCAACGC
This 595-nucleotide ribosomal RNA is filed under the name uncultured beta proteobacterium. Its description in RNAcentral is "bacterial SSU rRNA". It matches the Rfam family "Bacterial small subunit ribosomal RNA", at positions 1 to 602 of the family's 1533-position model. Lineage: Bacteria; Pseudomonadati; Pseudomonadota; Betaproteobacteria. The record is from RNAcentral.